Long non-coding RNA from Loxodonta africana (African savanna elephant), 3276 nucleotides. RefSeq lists it as uncharacterized. The record is from RefSeq and is a predicted model, not a curated record. Lineage: Eukaryota; Metazoa; Chordata; Mammalia; Proboscidea; Elephantidae. The transcript has 3 exons.
UUUUUUUUUUUUUGGAUUUCCCUGUCUGGGUUGACUUCUGGUCGCUCUGCCCCGUGUUCUAGUCUUGGGUCGAUACCUGAUGUUAUUGAUUUUCUAACCAAAGAACUCCCUUUAGUAUUUAUUAUAGUUUUGGUUUGGUUUUUAUGAAUUCCCUCAAGUUGUGUUUAUCUGGAAAUGUCUUAAUUUCACCUUCAUUUAAGAGGCAGUUUUGAUGGGUAUAUGAUUUUCGGCAGGCAAUUUUUUUCCUUCAGUUUUUUAAAUAUGUCAUUCCAUUGCCUUCUUGCCUGCAUGGUUUCUGCCGAGUAGUCUGAGAAUUUUCCUAUUGGCUCUCCCUUGUAGGUGACUUUUCUUUUAUCCCUUGCUGCUCUUAUAAUUGUCUCUUUAUCUUUGUUUUUGGCAAGCUAGGCGACUUUCUUUUAAGAUCUACCUUAUGUGGAGUUUCAUGAGAAUCUCGGAUAGAUAUCUUCUCAUCUUUCACACUAUCGGGGAAGUUUUCUGGCAACAAAUCCUCAACAAUUUUCUCUGCAUUUUCUGUUCUCCCUCCCUGUUCUGGUACUCCAAUCAGUCGUAGGUCAUUUCUCUUGAUAGAGUCCCCCAUGAUUCUUAAGGUUUCUUCAUUUUUAAAAAUUCUUUUAUCUGAUUUUUCUUCAAAUAUAUUAGUGCCAAGUGAUUUAUCUUCAAGUUCAGAAAUUCUAGCUUCUACUUGCUCACUUGUGCUCCUGUGACUUUCGAUUGAGUUAUCUAAUUCUGUAAUUUUAUUGUUAAUCUUCUGAAUUUCUGAUUGCUGUCUGUCUACGGAUUUUUCCAGCUUAUUAAACUUUUCAUUAUAUUCCUGAAUAAUCUUUCUGAUUUCUUCUGUUGCUUUUUUUGUGUGUUCCUUGGCUUGUUCUGCAUAUUGCCUCAUUUCCUUCCUGAUGCCUUGAAAGGUUCUUUUGUGUGCUGCAUCUGGUAAUUCCAGGGAUGCACUUUCAUCUAAAAGAUCCCUGGAUUCUUUGUUUUGAGAGCCUGUUGAGGUGAUCAUGGCCUGUUUCUUUAUGUGACUUGAUAUUGACUGUUGUCUCCGAGCUAUGUAUAAGUUAUUGUAUUAGUUUAUGGUUGCUUACUGUGUCGUAGCUGCUUGCUUUGUUUUGUUUUGUUUUGGUAUACCCCUAUGGGUUGCCUGAGUGAGUAGCUGGAUUAUUUUCUCCUUUGCAGCUCUGGUGUCCUGUCCUUAGCUGGGUAGAGGUGUUAUCAGGUAUAUCAGUCUAGUAGUCCAUUCAGUUUUCUUGUAUGAAUUCAGCUCAGGUUUCCAGGUAGCUGAUAUCAAGUGUGUGGUACAGGCUCUGUCCUACAGUCUGAGAGGGGCAGGGGUGAUUGGCGUAUAUACCGGUAUCUGAUUGUAGCAGAGGGUCAUGCUCUGAACAAGGCAGGGGACUGAAAACUGACCCCCAAGUGUCCCUGAGGAAAAUGUGUCUCUGUUCCCUAGAGCGCGGUGGUGGAUGGGCUCUGCAGAGGGACCACGGGCACCCGAAGUUUUUGGUGUAAGGACUGGUAGGUAGCAGUUUUCCCUGGACGAGUGUCCCGCGUGGCUGGGCAACCCAAGUGGAGCCAGCAGUCAUCAGGACCCUGUUCUGGGUAGGUGAGGAUUUUGUUUCAUAGGCAAAGCAAUAUCAAACGUCAAAUACCCAGCUGUCCACCGCACCGCUAAAAUGGUUGGAGUUUGCCUACAAGGGCCUUUUCUCCUGAAAUAAGCCCAAACAGGUCCAUGCAGAAGGGAAAGGUGCUCAGGGUCCACGGAUGGUUUAUACCUGGACAGGAGCCGCUUCUGUCCUGAACUUCCCCAGUUAAUGGAGGUAGCAAAUUAUCUUUUCCCCCCAGAUACAAAUUUUUUCCUUCCAUAAGGCCAGGAGGACGACUCCAGGUGCUCAUCAGGGUCUAUCUCAGGCCCCGGAAUUCGGCUGCUGAAGCUGGGUUGGGGGUGGGGGUGGGGUGGUAAAAUAUACUCAAGUAGUUACCUUUUGCCGAGAGUGCCCUUCUCCGUAGGUUCCGGAGGUGUGAGCAGGCUGUGUGGCCCGCUGCUUCUCUCUGAAGGAACUGCAUCUGAAUGCUGGGUCCAGCCGUCCACCGCCGCUGCCACCGCCGUAGCCGCUCUGGGAAUGUUGCCUGAGGGCUCCCCGUGAUUCACGUCCGAACUCUUCAAGGGAGAAGAGUACGAUGGACUUCCCAGUGGAUAUGUGGAGCCUGGGAGUCAUCUUGUAUUUGUUGUACUGUUCCAGGGAAAAGAGUACGACGGACGUCCAAGUGGAUAUGUGGAGCCUGGGAGUCAUGUUGUAUUUGUUGGUGAGUGGAUCGCUGCCUUUUGUUGGAAAUACCUUCACGGAGCUGUGGGAGUGUUUUCUGUGAAAUUGUUUGAAGUCAUCAAGAAUGAGAACACACUCCAUAUACUGUUGGAAUAAGUAAGUGGAAGGGAGGUUUCUCAUCAUGCAAGGGCUCAUGGCAGGAUGAGGGAAAAAGGGGCUCAAGCCACCAAAUUCUGCCAGAUAGUGUCCGUGGUGUAGGACUGUCAUAACAAGUGUAUGGUUCAGAGGGACCUGAAAACAGGAAACCUGGUAUUGGAUAAGAAAAUGAACAGCAAACUUUCAGGUCUUGAUCUUGGAAAUGAAUUCAGCCCGGGCAACAAGCUGUAAACAUCCUCUGGCAGUCUCCCUUCCUUUAUUCUGCCAUAGAACUCUUCAGGGAGAAAAGUAUGACAGACCCCCCAGUGGAUGUGUUGAGCCUGGGAGUCAUCUUGUAUUUGUGGGUGGGUGGAUCUUUGCCUCUUGUUGGAAAUACCUUCAUGAUGCUAUGGCAGGAUGUAGUGAAGGGACUUUCCCCCACAUAUAUCUCUGUAGUAUGAACACCUGCUGAGCAAAAUUUUCAUUCAUGACCCCAGUGAGAGAGGUACUUUAGAGGCAAUUCUGACACAUCCGUGGAUGAUGGUGGGUCAUGAAGAACAAAAGCUGUAUGUGGAACCACUCCCAGAUUUCAGUGACGCCCAGUGGAUUGAGGUUAUUUGCUACACAUGGCAAGAGAUUCAGUGCUUAUGGAUGUUGCCAAAGUACAGUGUUGUGAUAGUCACCUAUCUGCUCCUGGGUCAUAAGACACCUGAGACAGAGGGCCAUAGCAGCCUGCAGUGGAUCUUCAUCCCAUGGUGUACAGUGUACCCUCUUGUGCUAACCCAAGCAGAGGAGGUACAGCGAGCCUACCAUUCCGACACAUCUAGUGCUGCUAUAAUUUCCAGAAGUGGAUGGCUUUAAC